Molecule: small RNA, 267 nt
Filed under: Histoplasma capsulatum
Lineage: Eukaryota; Fungi; Ascomycota; Eurotiomycetes; Onygenales; Ajellomycetaceae
Also listed under: 1 other name
Description: hypothetical RNA
Source: RNAcentral
UACAUAUGCCCCAAUUCCAUGAUGCACAGGCAUGCUUUGUCGCCUGCCUUUUUGCAACUGCCUACUCCGUAGUCAGAUAGAUUCUUCGCAUGCACAGCUCAUUUGAAAGAACACUGAAAUACCCGAUUCGCCCACAAUAACCACGCUGCUGAUUUUAUUCGCUGCUUGGUUAUUUUAACUACUACUCUAGACAUCUUUUGCCCGACUUCAGUUUCAAUUUCGGAGCCAAGACAUAUUGCGAGGCCACGAGCCCAUUUCUCAAACGAU